UUUUUAAUCUUUUAUAACCUAAAGAAUCAGGUUUUUCUUAUAAUGCCAAAGAAUGACCUUUCUAAAGUACUACCCAAAGAACAUUUCCUUUCAAAAAAGGUACUAUACUUGAUAAUCGGAGUAAGCAUUCUGGUAGAAAGUGUUCACAUAAAAAAAAAAUACAUCAUUGUAAAACCAAAACAUUCCUCGUUCCGCUCAGAAUCUAAAAUAUAUUAAUAAGAAAUCAGUUAGUUCAUUU
This is a non-coding RNA of Cinara cedri, 238 nucleotides long. The record is from the annotation of a GenBank genome assembly. NCBI's taxonomy places the organism in Eukaryota, Metazoa, Arthropoda, Insecta, Hemiptera, Aphididae.